UUAAGCGACUAAGCGUACACGGUGGAUGCCCUGGCAGUCAGAGGCGAUGAAGGACGUGCUAAUCUGCGAUAAGCGUCGGUAAGGUGAUAUGAACCGUUAUAACCGGCGAUUUCCGAAUGGGGAAACCCAGUGUGUUUCGACACACUAUCAUUAACUGAAUCCAUAGGUUAAUGAGGCGAACCGGGGGAACUGAAACAUCUAAGUACCCCGAGGAAAAGAAAUCAACCGAGAUUCCCCCAGUAGCGGCGAGCGAACGGGGAGCAGCCCAGAGCCUGAAUCAGUGUGUGUGUUAGUGGAAGCGUCUGGAAAGGCGCGCGAUACAGGGUGACAGCCCCGUACACAAAAAUGCACAUGCUGUGAGCUCGAUGAGUAGGGCGGGACACGUGGUAUCCUGUCUGAAUAUGGGGGGACCAUCCUCCAAGGCUAAAUACUCCUGACUGACCGAUAGUGAACCAGUACCGUGAGGGAAAGGCGAAAAGAACCCCGGCGAGGGGAGUGAAAAAGAACCUGAAACCGUGUACGUACAAGCAGUGGGAGCACGCUUAGGCGUGUGACUGCGUACCUUUUGUAUAAUGGGUCAGCGACUUAUAUUCUGUAGCAAGGUUAACCGAAUAGGGGAGCCGAAGGGAAACCGAGUCUUAACUGGGCGUUAAGUUGCAGGGUAUAGACCCGAAACCCGGUGAUCUAGCCAUGGGCAGGUUGAAGGUUGGGUAACACUAACUGGAGGACCGAACCGACUAAUGUUGAAAAAUUAGCGGAUGACUUGUGGCUGGGGGUGAAAGGCCAAUCAAACCGGGAGAUAGCUGGUUCUCCCCGAAAGCUAUUUAGGUAGCGCCUCGUGAAUUCAUCUCCGGGGGUAGAGCACUGUUUCGGCAAGGGGGUCAUCCCGACUUACCAACCCGAUGCAAACUGCGAAUACCGGAGAAUGUUAUCACGGGAGACACACGGCGGGUGCUAACGUCCGUCGUGAAGAGGGAAACAACCCAGACCGCCAGCUAAGGUCCCAAAGUCAUGGUUAAGUGGGAAACGAUGUGGGAAGGCCCAGACAGCCAGGAUGUUGGCUUAGAAGCAGCCAUCAUUUAAAGAAAGCGUAAUAGCUCACUGGUCGAGUCGGCCUGCGCGGAAGAUGUAACGGGGCUAAACCAUGCACCGAAGCUGCGGCAGCGACGCUUAUGCGUUGUUGGGUAGGGGAGCGUUCUGUAAGCCUGCGAAGGUGUGCUGUGAGGCAUGCUGGAGGUAUCAGAAGUGCGAAUGCUGACAUAAGUAACGAUAAAGCGGGUGAAAAGCCCGCUCGCCGGAAGACCAAGGGUUCCUGUCCAACGUUAAUCGGGGCAGGGUGAGUCGACCCCUAAGGCGAGGCCGAAAGGCGUAGUCGAUGGGAAACAGGUUAAUAUUCCUGUACUUGGUGUUACUGCGAAGGGGGGACGGAGAAGGCUAUGUUGGCCGGGCGACGGUUGUCCCGGUUUAAGCGUGUAGGCUGGUUUUCCAGGCAAAUCCGGAAAAUCAAGGCUGAGGCGUGAUGACGAGGCACUACGGUGCUGAAGCAACAAAUGCCCUGCUUCCAGGAAAAGCCUCUAAGCAUCAGGUAACAUCAAAUCGUACCCCAAACCGACACAGGUGGUCAGGUAGAGAAUACCAAGGCGCUUGAGAGAACUCGGGUGAAGGAACUAGGCAAAAUGGUGCCGUAACUUCGGGAGAAGGCACGCUGAUAUGUAGGUGAAGUCCCUCGCGGAUGGAGCUGAAAUCAGUCGAAGAUACCAGCUGGCUGCAACUGUUUAUUAAAAACACAGCACUGUGCAAACACGAAAGUGGACGUAUACGGUGUGACGCCUGCCCGGUGCCGGAAGGUUAAUUGAUGGGGUCAGCGCAAGCGAAGCUCUUGAUCGAAGCCCCGGUAAACGGCGGCCGUAACUAUAACGGUCCUAAGGUAGCGAAAUUCCUUGUCGGGUAAGUUCCGACCUGCACGAAUGGCGUAAUGAUGGCCAGGCUGUCUCCACCCGAGACUCAGUGAAAUUGAACUCGCUGUGAAGAUGCAGUGUACCCGCGGCAAGACGGAAAGACCCCGUGAACCUUUACUAUAGCUUGACACUGAACAUUGAGCCUUGAUGUGUAGGAUAGGUGGGAGGCUUUGAAGUGUGGACGCCAGUCUGCAUGGAGCCGACCUUGAAAUACCACCCUUUAAUGUUUGAUGUUCUAACGUUGACCCGUGAUCCGGGUUGCGGACAGUGUCUGGUGGGUAGUUUGACUGGGGCGGUCUCCUCCUAAAGAGUAACGGAGGAGCACGAAGGUUGGCUAAUCCUGGUCGGACAUCAGGAGGUUAGUGCAAUGGCAUAAGCCAGCUUGACUGCGAGCGUGACGGCGCGAGCAGGUGCGAAAGCAGGUCAUAGUGAUCCGGUGGUUCUAAAUGGAAGGGCCAUCGCUCAACGGAUAAAAGGUACUCCGGGGAUAACAGGCUGAUACCGCCCAAGAGUUCAUAUCGACGGCGGUGUUUGGCACCUCGAUGUCGGCUCAUCACAUCCUGGGGCUGAAGUAGGUCCCAAGGGUAUGGCUGUUCGCCAUUUAAAGUGGUACGCGAGCUGGGUUUAGAACGUCGUGAGACAGUUCGGUCCCUAUCUGCCGUGGGCGCUGGAGAACUGAGGGGGGCUGCUCCUAGUACGAGAGGACCGGAGUGGACGCAUCACUGGUGUUCGGGUUGUCAUGCCAAUGGCACUGCCCGGUAGCUAAAUGCGGAAGAGAUAAGUGCUGAAAGCAUCUAAGCACGAAACUUGCCCCGAGAUGAGUUCUCCCUGACUCCUUGAGAGUCCUGAAGGAACGUUGAAGACGACGACGUUGAUAGGCCGGGUGUGUAAGCGCAGCGAUGCGUUGAGCUAACCGGUACUAAUGAACCGUGAGGCUUAACCU
RNAcentral lists this ribosomal RNA (2901 nucleotides) under Escherichia coli O22:H8. RNAcentral describes it as "23S ribosomal RNA". It matches the Rfam family "Bacterial large subunit ribosomal RNA". Lineage: Bacteria; Pseudomonadati; Pseudomonadota; Gammaproteobacteria; Enterobacterales; Enterobacteriaceae. The record is from RNAcentral.